ACCAACAGGGAUUGCCCUAGUAACGGCGAGUGAAGCGGCAACAGCUCAAAUUUGAAAUCUGGCGCAAGCCCGAGUUGUAAUUUGCAGAGGAUGCUUCUAGGCAGCGGCCGGUCUAAGUUCCUUGGAACAGGACGUCAGAGAGGGUGAGAAUCCCGUACGUGACCGGCCCGCACCUUCCACGAAGCUCCUUCGACGAGUCGAGUUGUUUGGGAAUGCAGCUCCAAAUGGGAGGUAAAUUUCUUCUAAAGCUAAAUACCGGCUGGAGACCGAUAGCGCACAAGUAGAGUGAUCGAAAGAUGAAAAGCACUUUGGAAAGAGAGUUAAAAAGCACGUGAAAUUGUUGAAAGGGAAGCGCCUGCAACCAGACUUCGCGGCAGUGUUCCGCCGGUCUUCUGACCGGUCCAUUCGCUGUCGCGAGGCCAUCAUCGUCUGGGGCCGCCGGAUAAGACCGGAGGAAUGUGGCUCCCCUCGGGGAGUGUUAUAGCCUCCGGUGAUGCGGCGCGCCUCGGGCGAGGUCCGCGCUUCGGCAAGGAUGAUGGCGUAAUGGUUGUCGGCGGCCCGUCUUGAAACACGGACCAAGGAGUCUAACAUCUAUGCGAGUGUUCGGGUGUCAAACCCCUACGCGGAAUGAAAGUGAACGGAGGUGGGAACUUUUAGUGCACCAUCGACCGAUCCUGAUGUCCUCGGAUGGAUUUGAGUAAGAGCAUAGCUGUUGGGACCCGAAAGAUGGUGAACUAUGCCUGAAUAGGGUGAAGCCAGAGGAAACUCUGGUGGAGGCUCGCAGCGGUUCUGACGUGCAAAUCGAUCGUCAAAUUUGGGUAUAGGGGCGAAAGA
RNAcentral lists this ribosomal RNA (834 nucleotides) under Stigmina palmivora. RNAcentral describes it as "eukaryotic LSU rRNA". It matches the Rfam family "Eukaryotic large subunit ribosomal RNA", at positions 64 to 930 of the family's 3401-position model. Lineage: Eukaryota; Fungi; Ascomycota; Dothideomycetes; Dothideales. The record is from RNAcentral.